This 201-nucleotide long non-coding RNA is filed under the name Gallus gallus (chicken). The record is from RNAcentral. Lineage: Eukaryota; Metazoa; Chordata; Aves; Galliformes; Phasianidae.
GGGAGUUGUUGAAGGUGCAGCAUUCCGUGGCUCCCGGUGGGAUGAUGGGGCUGGGGGGCACGGAGUUGUAGCCACUGAAGCAGUAGGCCCUGGGGGAGCUCAGGGUCACAUCCCUCGUGCUGUUGGUCAGUUGGAUCUCCACGCUCCGAAAGGCCAUCCCAGCAGCUCCUGCAACGGGAUCACUGUCCCCAUUGUGCCCCC